AUAAAUUUUCCGUCAAGAAGGAUUCAAUCUACAAAAAGUGAAUAUAUUGACAAAAAUUUCUUUUUAAUUAAUAGCAGUUGGCUUUAACGAAAAAGAUUAAUCUUCGCAACAAAAAAAAAUUUUCCAAGAAAAACGAUCAUUUGUAACCCAAAAUGGACAGUGAAACCCACCAGACUCCAAAAUGAAAAUUGGAACAUCUGAUGAGAGAAGCAAUUGAAAAAGGUGAAUUUUACAGUGAAAUGAAAAUGAAAUUGAAGUGAAAAAAUGACCUAAUCGACUCCCUGAUCUACUUCAACACAUUAUUUACACCUUUCAAAAUAUUUGAAUAUAGUUAAAAGUAGAUUCGAGACUGGAAUUACCAGAUGAUCCUGUCUUCACUUGCUAAAACUCCAUAUUGAACGAACUAUGCUAAAUUUUGAUUUACUCA
Molecule: long non-coding RNA, 427 nt
Organism: Belonocnema kinseyi
Lineage: Eukaryota; Metazoa; Arthropoda; Insecta; Hymenoptera; Cynipidae
Exons: 3
Source: RefSeq, a predicted model, not a curated record